UCCGAUAAAGGCAAACCAGUCGCGAGGCUGGGACGCAAAGCCACCGGUCAGCAAACGGGCUGACAGCGGGGUUACCGAAG
Molecule: non-coding RNA, 80 nt
Filed under: Methylomirabilis (SeqCode)
Lineage: Bacteria; Methylomirabilota (SeqCode); Methylomirabilia (SeqCode); Methylomirabilales (SeqCode); Methylomirabilaceae (SeqCode)
Description: Candidatus Methylomirabilis c-di-GMP sequence
Rfam family: c-di-GMP-I-GGC riboswitch aptamer
Source: RNAcentral